ACCACGCUACAACCGCACAAAGCAGGAAUUAAGCAAUGGCAACAUUCUCCUGUGCUGGCGAGUCUUAGUAUAUGA
Regulatory RNA element from Listeria grayi DSM 20601, 75 nucleotides. NCBI's taxonomy places the organism in Bacteria, Bacillati, Bacillota, Bacilli, Caryophanales, Listeriaceae. The record is from Rfam.